This 481-nucleotide ribosomal RNA is filed under the name uncultured bacterium. RNAcentral's name for it is "partial 16S ribosomal RNA". It matches the Rfam family "Bacterial small subunit ribosomal RNA", at positions 28 to 507 of the family's 1533-position model. The record is from RNAcentral.
GAUGAACGCUGGCGGCGUGCUUAACACAUGCAAGUCGAACGAAGCAUUUGCGACAGAUUUUUUCGGAAUGAAGUUGCUUAUGACUGAGUGGCGGACGGGGGAGUAACGCGUGGGUAACCUGCCUUGUACUGGGGGAUAGCAGCUGGAAACGGCUGGUAAUACCGCAUAAGCGCACAAUGUUGCAUGACAUGGUGUGAAAAACUCCGGUGGUAUAAGAUGGACCCGCGUCUGAUUAGCUAGUUGGUGAGAUAACAGCCCACCAAGGCGACGAUCAGUAGCCGACCUGAGAGGGUGACCGGCCACAUUGGGACUGAGACACGGCCCAGACUCCUACGGGAGGCAGCAGUGGGGAAUAUUGCACAAUGGAGGAAACUCUGAUGCAGCGACGCCGCGUGAGUGAAGAAGUAAUUCGUUAUGUAAAGCUCUAUCAGCAGGGAAGAUAGUGACGGUACCUGACUAAGAAGCUCCGGCUAAAUACGUG